AUAUCAAUAAGCGGAGGAAAAGAAACUAACAAGGAUUCCCCUAGUAACUGCGAGUGAAGAGGGAAAAGCUCAAAUUUAAAAUCUGGCAGGCUUUGACUGUCCGAGUUGUAAAUUAGAGAAGUGUUAUCCGCGUUGGCCUGUGCAAAAGUCUCUUGGAAAAGAGCAUCAUAGAGGGUGACAAUCCCGUCUUUGGCACAGAUUACCAGGGCUUUUGUGAUGCGCUCUCGAUGAGUCGAGUUGUUUGGGAAUGCAGCUCUAAAUGGGUGGUAAAUUCCAUCUAAAGCUAAAUAUUGGCGAGAGACCGAUAGCGCACAAGUACCGUGAGGGAAAGAUGAAAAGAACUUUGAAAAGAGAGUUAAACAGUAC
This 366-nucleotide ribosomal RNA is filed under the name uncultured fungus. Its description in RNAcentral is "eukaryotic LSU rRNA". It matches the Rfam family "Eukaryotic large subunit ribosomal RNA", at positions 40 to 398 of the family's 3401-position model. The record is from RNAcentral. Lineage: Eukaryota; Fungi.